CGUAGGGGACGAGCGUUGUCCGGAUUCAUUGGGCGUAAAGCGCGCGUAGGCGGCUCGGAAAGUCGGUCGUGAAAUCCUGGGGCUCAACCCCGGAACUGCGUCCGAUACUCCCGAGCUGGAGGCAGGUAGGGGAGAUCGGAAUUCCUGGUGUAGCGGUGAAAUGCGCAGAUAUCAGGAGGAACACCGGUGGCGAAGGCGGAUCUCUGGGCCUUGCCUGACGCUGAGGCGCGAAAGCUAGGGGAGCGAACAGGAUUAGAUACCCUGGUAGUCCUAGCCGUAAACGUUGGGUGCUAGGUGUGGGCGGAUAUCGACCCCGUCCGUGCCGAAGCUAACGCAUUAAGCACCCCGCCUGGGGAGUACGGCCGCAAGGCUA
Molecule: ribosomal RNA, 373 nt
Filed under: uncultured organism
Description: bacterial SSU rRNA
Rfam family: Bacterial small subunit ribosomal RNA
Source: RNAcentral